RNAcentral lists this transfer RNA (73 nucleotides) under Ixodes scapularis (black-legged tick). RNAcentral describes it as "tRNA-Ser". Lineage: Eukaryota; Metazoa; Arthropoda; Arachnida; Ixodida; Ixodidae. The record is from RNAcentral.
CCGUGGUUAGCCCAGUUAACAGAGCGCUUUACUGGAUAUGGAGAGGUCCCGGGUUCGAUACCCGGACCAGGCG